UCGGGUUCCCCCAGGAUGUGACGUUUCUGGGAGCGACGAGCUGGCCCUACCACGUGAGACCUGACUUCCUGAGUCAGCGCUUUUGGCGUACUGAGAAACAAAAUGUCUGGCAGUUUUCUUUGUGAAGCAAGAACUCUGAAGGACCAUCCUGUCUUGUUUGGGCAAGUUCAACAGUCACUUUCUUGUUGGUCCUGCAUGUCCAGUUUAUACACCAUACAGUCAAGCAUUCCAGGCUCACACUGGGCUACUGAGAGUUGGUGAGCUUCUUUGGGUUCCAGAGUACAGAGCUAUCUUUCUAAUCAAGACCAUAGGAGAUGCCAAUUGGGGAGCCACUCUGCCUCCUAUGUGAGUCACAUCUGAGCUACAGGGCCUGUUGACAAAGGCUGUCUGCUUAAGUUCCAGGAGCAACAGGGAAAACAGGGGAUGGCUGAAGUGGUCUAUUCUCUCACACAUGUGAACUUGGGAUGAGCCAUGGGCCUGAUGUAUACCAGGAUGGUGAGCACUGUGCACAGGAGGGAGUCCAUGUAGCCCUGGCUUCAGGGAAAUGCUGGAAGCUGCUGCCCAAGUUUGGAGUGAAGGGUCUUGGAGGGCAUGAGCGUGAGUUGUUGGGAAACUGGGUUGUGACAAGGCUAAAAUGGUAGUGAGCAUCUUGUUUUUCCCUUUUAAUCCGAGACAGUUUCUCAUGUAGCCCAGACUGUCCUCAAAUUUUCUAUAUGGCCAAGGAUAAUCUUGAACUUUUCAUUCUCUUGCAUUUACCUCCACAGUGUUGGUAUUACAGGUGUGUCCUCAUGCCCAAUUUUAUGAAAUGCUAAGUAUUGAAUGCAGGGCCUCAUGUAUGCUAGACAACCACCCACCAUAAAUGAGCUACAUCCUUGAACUGAGCAUC
Cricetulus griseus (Chinese hamster) is the source of this 886-nucleotide non-coding RNA. NCBI's taxonomy places the organism in Eukaryota, Metazoa, Chordata, Mammalia, Rodentia, Cricetidae. The record is from RefSeq and is a predicted model, not a curated record.